RNAcentral lists this ribosomal RNA (433 nucleotides) under uncultured bacterium. RNAcentral's name for it is "partial 16S ribosomal RNA". It matches the Rfam family "Bacterial small subunit ribosomal RNA", at positions 29 to 507 of the family's 1533-position model. The record is from RNAcentral.
AACGAACGCUGGCGGCAUGCCUAACACAUGCAAGUCGAACGAAACCUUCGGGUCUAGUGGCGCACGGGUGCGUAACGCGUGGGAACCUGCCCUUAGGUUCGGCAUAACUCCCCGAAAGGGGUGCUAAUACCGGAUAAUGUCUUCGGACCAAAGAUUUAUCGCCUUUGGAUGGGCCCGCGUUGGAUUAGCUUGUUGGUAGGGUAAAAGCCUACCAAGGCGACGAUCCAUAGCUGGUCUGAGAGGAUGAUCAGCCACACUGGGACUGAGACACGGCCGAGACUCCUACGGGAGGCAGCAGUGGGGAAUAUUGGAAAAUGGGCGGAAGCAUGAUCCAGCAAUGCCGCGUGAGUGAUGAAGGCCUUAGGGUUGUAAAGCUCUUUUAACCGGGAUGAUAAUGACAGUACCGGGAGAAUAAGCUCCGGCUAACUACGCG